ACUGUGAGAUCGAUGGGCUUCACGUCUUCUCCAGUGGGAGUGAUGGGCGCCGGCUGUACGGAUCCCGGAGCCUGACUGCUGUCUACAGUGGCCUGAAGGGUGAGAAGCACGGCCGCGGAAGCAGAUACCAGGUUCGGCUGCAGCUGGGCAGUCUGGGCAGUGGAGGCAGAGGAUGGAGUCUUGCUUAGUCGCCCAAGCUGGAGUAGUGUGGCUCGAUCUCAGCUCUGCAACCUCUGCCUCCCAGGGUUCAAGCAAUUCUCCUGCCUCAGUUUCCAGAGUAGCUGGAAUUAUAGAUUCUGGGAAAGUGAACUCCACGGAAGACUCAGAAACCAAGUUCUAAUUCAGUUGCCAUGAAAACUUAAGGUGAGAGGAUUGUCAACCAGUGAAAAAUACGGAGGAAAACACUAACAGAAUAUGAUGAAGAAGCCAAGACUUGGGCUGCUUGCAUUACAUUAACCGAGGUUUACCCGCAGCGAGGCUGCCUCCAAAGCAUCCGGAGUUUGCAACCAUCACUGUCCACCCCGCGAGCUGCGAUAGUGCGAGAACUACAAUUCCCGUGGGGCUGUGCGGGAG
This 573-nucleotide long non-coding RNA is filed under the name Homo sapiens (human). RNAcentral's name for it is "non-protein coding lnc-CENPT-1:8". Lineage: Eukaryota; Metazoa; Chordata; Mammalia; Primates; Hominidae. The record is from RNAcentral.